Molecule: ribosomal RNA, 2893 nt
Filed under: Escherichia coli
Lineage: Bacteria; Pseudomonadati; Pseudomonadota; Gammaproteobacteria; Enterobacterales; Enterobacteriaceae
Description: 23S ribosomal RNA
Rfam family: Bacterial large subunit ribosomal RNA
Source: RNAcentral
GGGUUGUGAGGUUAAGCGACUAAGCGUACACGGUGGAUGCCCUGGCAGUCAGAGGCGAUGAAGGACGUGCUAAUCUGCGAUAAGCGUCGGUAAGGUGAUAUGAACCGUUAUAACCGGCGAUUUCCGAAUGGGGAAACCCAGUGUGUUUCGACACACUAUCAUUAACUGAAUCCAUAGGUUAAUGAGGCGAACCGGGGGAACUGAAACAUCUAAGUACCCCGAGGAAAAGAAAUCAACCGAGAUUCCCCCAGUAGCGGCGAGCGAACGGGGAGCAGCCCAGAGCCUGAAUCAGUGUGUGUGUUAGUGGAAGCGUCUGGAAAGGCGCGCGAUACAGGGUGACAGCCCCGUACACAAAAAUGCACAUGCUGUGAGCUCGAUGAGUAGGGCGGGACACGUGGUAUCCUGUCUGAAUAUGGGGGGACCAUCCUCCAAGGCUAAAUACUCCUGACUGACCGAUAGUGAACCAGUACCGUGAGGGAAAGGCGAAAAGAACCCCGGCGAGGGGAGUGAAAAAGAACCUGAAACCGUGUACGUACAAGCAGUGGGAGCACGCUUAGGCGUGUGACUGCGUACCUUUUGUAUAAUGGGUCAGCGACUUAUAUUCUGUAGCAAGGUUAACCGAAUAGGGGAGCCGAAGGGAAACCGAGUCUUAACUGGGCGUUAAGUUGCAGGGUAUAGACCCGAAACCCGGUGAUCUAGCCAUGGGCAGGUUGAAGGUUGGGUAACACUAACUGGAGGACCGAACCGACUAAUGUUGAAAAAUUAGCGGAUGACUUGUGGCUGGGGGUGAAAGGCCAAUCAAACCGGGAGAUAGCUGGUUCUCCCCGAAAGCUAUUUAGGUAGCGCCUCGUGAAUUCAUCUCCGGGGGUAGAGCACUGUUUCGGCAAGGGGGUCAUCCCGACUUACCAACCCGAUGCAAACUGCGAAUACCGGAGAAUGUUAUCACGGGAGACACACGGCGGGUGCUAACGUCCGUCGUGAAGAGGGAAACAACCCAGACCGCCAGCUAAGGUCCCAAAGUCAUGGUUAAGUGGGAAACGAUGUGGGAAGGCCCAGACAGCCAGGAUGUUGGCUUAGAAGCAGCCAUCAUUUAAAGAAAGCGUAAUAGCUCACUGGUCGAGUCGGCCUGCGCGGAAGAUGUAACGGGGCUAAACCAUGCACCGAAGCUGCGGCAGCGACGCUUAUGCGUUGUUGGGUAGGGGAGCGUUCUGUAAGCCUGUGAAGGUGUGCUGUGAGGCAUGCUGGAGGUAUCAGAAGUGCGAAUGCUGACAUAAGUAACGAUAAAGCGGGUGAAAAGCCCGCUCGCCGGAAGACCAAGGGUUCCUGUCCAACGUUAAUCGGGGCAGGGUGAGUCGACCCCUAAGGCGAGGCCGAAAGGCGUAGUCGAUGGGAAACAGGUUAAUAUUCCUGUACUUGGUGUUACUGCGAAGGGGGGACGGAGAAGGCUAUGUUGGCCGGGCGACGGUUGUCCCGGUUUAAGCGUGUAGGCUGGUUUUCCAGGCAAAUCCGGAAAAUCAAGGCUGAGGCGUGAUGACGAGGCACUACGGUGCUGAAGCAACAAAUGCCCUGCUUCCAGGAAAAGCCUCUAAGCAUCAGGUAACAUCAAAUCGUACCCCAAACCGACACAGGUGGUCAGGUAGAGAAUACCAAGGCGCUUGAGAGAACUCGGGUGAAGGAACUAGGCAAAAUGGUGCCGUAACUUCGGGAGAAGGCACGCUGAUAUGUAGGUGANNNNNNNNNNNNNNNNNNNNNNNNNNNNNNNNNNNNNNNNNNNNNNNNNNNNNNNNNNNNNNNNNNNNNNNNNNNNNNNNNNNNNNNNNNNNNNNNNNNNNNNNNNNNNNNNGCGAAGCUCUUGAUCGAAGCCCCGGUAAACGGCGGCCGUAACUAUAACGGUCCUAAGGUAGCGAAAUUCCUUGUCGGGUAAGUUCCGACCUGCACGAAUGGCGUAAUGAUGGCCAGGCUGUCUCCACCCGAGACUCAGUGAAAUUGAACUCGCUGUGAAGAUGCAGUGUACCCGCGGCAAGACGGAAAGACCCCGUGAACCUUUACUAUAGCUUGACACUGAACAUUGAGCCUUGAUGUGUAGGAUAGGUGGGAGGCUUAGAAGUGUGGACGCCAGUCUGCAUGGAGCCGACCUUGAAAUACCACCCUUUAAUGUUUGAUGUUCUAACGUUGACCCGUAAUCCGGGUUGCGGACAGUGUCUGGUGGGUAGUUUGACUGGGGCGGUCUCCUCCUAAAGAGUAACGGAGGAGCACGAAGGUUGGCUAAUCCUGGUCGGACAUCAGGAGGUUAGUGCAAUGGCAUAAGCCAGCUUGACUGCGAGCGUGACGGCGCGAGCAGGUGCGAAAGCAGGUCAUAGUGAUCCGGUGGUUCUGAAUGGAAGGGCCAUCGCUCAACGGAUAAAAGGUACUCCGGGGAUAACAGGCUGAUACCGCCCAAGAGUUCAUAUCGACGGCGGUGUUUGGCACCUCGAUGUCGGCUCAUCACAUCCUGGGGCUGAAGUAGGUCCCAAGGGUAUGGCUGUUCGCCAUUUAAAGUGGUACGCGAGCUGGGUUUAGAACGUCGUGAGACAGUUCGGUCCCUAUCUGCCGUGGGCGCUGGAGAACUGAGGGGGGCUGCUCCUAGUACGAGAGGACCGGAGUGGACGCAUCACUGGUGUUCGGGUUGUCAUGCCAAUGGCACUGCCCGGUAGCUAAAUGCGGAAGAGAUAAGUGCUGAAAGCAUCUAAGCACGAAACUUGCCCCGAGAUGAGUUCUCCCUGACUCCUUGAGAGUCCUGAAGGAACGUUGAAGACGACGACGUUGAUAGGCCGGGUGUGUAAGCGCAGCGAUGCGUUGAGCUAACCGGUACUAAUGAACCGUGAGGCUUAACCUUACAACGCCGAAGGUGUUU